This 229-nucleotide long non-coding RNA is filed under the name Panax ginseng (ginseng). RNAcentral describes it as "long non-coding RNA (PGIN_LNC018105)". Lineage: Eukaryota; Viridiplantae; Streptophyta; Magnoliopsida; Apiales; Araliaceae. The record is from RNAcentral.
UAAUAUUUCCACAAGAUCCUGCAAAGAGUAAAUCAGCCCCACACUUAAGAUUUGUGAAAAUAUCAAUAUUUAAUCGUGAAAAUAACAAUUCCCUAAAAUUAUGACAGCAUAAGCAGAAUCACAUGUUAAAUUCAGAGGCAAACAAUUACACUGUUCAAUUUCAGAUCAAGAGCAAGCAAAAACUUAAGUUCCACUGUUUAAAUAGCAUUAUGUAGUGCAUAGAAUCAAU